Molecule: transfer RNA, 67 nt
Filed under: Anarchias sp. Ansp
Lineage: Eukaryota; Metazoa; Chordata; Actinopteri; Anguilliformes; Muraenidae
Description: tRNA-Cys
Rfam family: tRNA
About the family: Transfer RNA (tRNA) molecules are approximately 80 nucleotides in length.
Source: RNAcentral
AGUUCUGUAGUGUAAUGGCACGUUAGAUUGCAAACCUAAAAGAGCGGGUUAACCCCUGCCAGAGCUU